This 70-nucleotide transfer RNA is filed under the name Opsaridium ubangiense. RNAcentral describes it as "tRNA-Asp". It matches the Rfam family "tRNA". From Rfam's summary of the family: Transfer RNA (tRNA) molecules are approximately 80 nucleotides in length. Their secondary structure includes four short double-helical elements and three loops (D, anti-codon, and T loops). Further hydrogen bonds mediate the characteristic L-shaped molecular structure. tRNAs have two regions of fundamental functional importance: the anti-codon, which is responsible for specific mRNA codon recognition, and the 3' end, to which the tRNAs corresponding amino acid is attached (by aminoacyl-tRNA synthetases). tRNAs cope with the degeneracy of the genetic code in two manners: having more than one tRNA (with a specific anti-codon) for a particular amino acid; and 'wobble' base-pairing, i.e. permitting non-standard base-pairing at the 3rd anti-codon position. Lineage: Eukaryota; Metazoa; Chordata; Actinopteri; Cypriniformes; Danionidae. The record is from RNAcentral.
AAAACAUUAGUAAACUUAAUUACACCCCCUUGUCAAGGGGGAAUUGCAGGUUAAACUCCUGCAUGUUUAG